This 253-nucleotide ribosomal RNA is filed under the name uncultured bacterium. RNAcentral's name for it is "partial 16S ribosomal RNA". It matches the Rfam family "Bacterial small subunit ribosomal RNA", at positions 524 to 776 of the family's 1533-position model. The record is from RNAcentral.
GACGAACCGUGCGAACGUUGUUCGGAAUCACUGGGCUUAAAGGGCGCGUAGGCGGCUAUAUAAGUCCGGGGUGAAAGCCCCCAGCUCAACUGGGGAAGUGCCUUGGAUACUGUGUAGCUCGAGCGAGGCAGGGGUCGUGGGAACUUCCGGUGGAGCGGUGAAAUGCGUUGAUAUCGGAAGGAACGCCGGUGGCGAAAGCGCACGACUGGUCCUCUUCUGACGCUGAGGCGCGAAAGCCAGGGGAGCAAACGGG